UCAAACCAUGCUCUUUAGCCGCUGAUUUCUGAGAGCACAUUCUGACUGCUUUUGAGACACUUACUGGCAAAUCCUCCUCCCCCACCUCACUGGAAGCCAUCAAUGCACGGUCUUGCAGUCUUUGGCUCUAUAAUUACUGCCAACACAACAUGGAUACCAGAUUGAAUGCUCCUGUAAGAAUGCUAACCUCUGAUCAAGAUGUCUUUCUCUGGACCCAGGACAUUGUGACAGUGGGUGAGGUUUGUUUUGUGUCAGACGUUGUUUGUCCGGCUCUUUCUCCACAGGUUGGUGAGGUGUCCUGAUUGCAGCAGUAUCAUCAGUUACAUUUAUUUUAGUCUUCCUCAAAUUGUUGCCAUACACAAAAUUAGUCUCUUUUGCUCAGCAAACAACUUCUUUGACUUUUGUUUCUGCUGUGAUAUGCUCCGUCAGCUGUGACGUCUUACAGAACUUUAUUUGGUCCUAAAUUAGGUUUAAUCCACUAAUCAAGUUGCUGAAACAUAUGAAUAAUUAGUGGGAAUCAGAUUACCUCACAUUUAAUUCAGUGUCAAAGAUGUGGGAGUGAAUAUUCAGCCAUUAUGGUUUCAUUUCAGUCACAAAACAGUUAAAACAUUUUCCUUUGUUAUUGUGCUUUUUGUGUAGGAAAAUAGAAAAUUAUAAUCCAGUCAGUUUUAGAAUAAACCUGUUAGCACCAAAAUGUGGAAAAUGGAAAGGGUUGUCUAUAUUUUCUCUGCUGCUGCUCUUUAUGCAGAAAAUUAAUCCACACACAACUUAAAUCUAUUUAUUAACUGGUGGUCCAUGAAAAGCAAAAUGCAAACAGUUUUCUGUAAUGAGAGGAAAGGUGGAAUGUGAGCCAAGUAGCUUUGGUAUCAAAAAUAGAUUUUAUUGGUUUGACAAAAGAUUUUUAUGUAGAAAAUAAAUGACAAUAGUUAAAAUAAGGCACCCUGGAAACAUGAAGUUCUUUUUUCCUUGGUCUUCUUUUAGGGGCACGCUUUGAAGGUUGUGCUGUAAACAAAGAAAGACAAUCUUUCUAUUUCAAUCAGGUCUAACUGUGGCAGGAUCCAAAGAGCCUGAAAGCUUCCCAUACCUCCACCCUCAGCAGACUUCAGCUCCUUGGCCUCCUGGAUUUGAGCAACAAGACUUUGGAGCCUUUGUGACGCAGCCGUUCUCCGCUCCUCCAAAACACUCCUUUGUUCUCUUGAAGAUGAGUUCAGACUUUCAGGAUGAAAGCUGAAGACGUCUCCCUCUGCUGCUGUUCCUGCAUCCCUCUUUAAGGCUCCAAGCCCACUUCCCUGCUGGUGGUUCUGCCCGUACGCUCUGUGUUCCCUCAUCAUGUUCAGGUUCCUCUAGUUGGGCCAACUAACCUCCUUCAUUCUGCUGAAGACUAACAAAACUCAGUUUUUACCUGUUUUAUUUUCUAUGAUGAAAUGUGACUCUGCAUGCCGUGCUGGCGUUUAAAUGUUUAACUCUGAGGUUCUGGACUAGUCCAAAAAUAAAACCUAUUUCUAUUUAUGUAAACAUGAAGUAAUAUACUGAGGAAAAAUAAAGUCUUCUUCUGUAA
Molecule: long non-coding RNA, 1558 nt
Organism: Fundulus heteroclitus (mummichog)
Lineage: Eukaryota; Metazoa; Chordata; Actinopteri; Cyprinodontiformes; Fundulidae
Exons: 2
Source: RefSeq, a predicted model, not a curated record